This 214-nucleotide long non-coding RNA is filed under the name Elaeis guineensis (African oil palm). RNAcentral describes it as "long non-coding RNA (EGUI_LNC005641)". Lineage: Eukaryota; Viridiplantae; Streptophyta; Magnoliopsida; Arecales; Arecaceae. The record is from RNAcentral.
GGUGAAGCGCUGCCGUUGGAUCGCGCUGCAGUGAUGGGAUCAGGUCGGAUGCAUCGCGGACCGUCCGAUCAAGGCGCUGGAAGAUUUCGUCCAUUGGAUCGCGCUGUAGAAGGAUCCCGUGUUGUCCUAGUGUUUAUUGAUUCUUGCAAUUGCCUUGAUUACAGUUGGAUCUUGACCGGCUGCGAUGGUGGCCGUCCGAUGGCGCAAAAAUAUG